RNAcentral lists this non-coding RNA (602 nucleotides) under Pan troglodytes (chimpanzee). The record is from RNAcentral. Lineage: Eukaryota; Metazoa; Chordata; Mammalia; Primates; Hominidae.
CUUUCCGUGCAUAAGAAGCCGAAUGAGGAAGACAAACAUAAAGAUGAAGUGCUUAAUUCAAGGUCACACAAUGUCGGGGAUGGACCUCCAGAUUUCCUUACUGGAAAACAAGCUCAGGGCUCCCACUGAUUGUACAUUAUGGUGAGACGUGGUCUUGUAACACAGUGGUUAAGAAUGUGACUUUGGAGCCAGCCUGCUAGGGGCUGAAUUCUGACUCAGCCAUUUACUAACUGUGUGACCUUAGGUGGAGUCUCACUCUGUAGCCCAAGCUGGAGUGGUGUGAUCUCGACUCACUGCAACCUCCGCCUCCUGGGCUCAAGUGAUUCUCGUGCCUCAGCCUCCUGAGUAGCUGGGACUACAGGUCACAGAAUUUUCCACACUCCUUGACGGAGGUGCUUAACCCUUAUCCAUCAGCAUUCUCAGACAGCACCUCCGGUUAGGGACAGUAUCUGACCGUCCGACAUCCCUGCAGCCCCCAUGUGUCACACAGACUCAGCCUCAGGUAGAUGGUUUCCGUAGAUGGUGGCUUUCUUUGGACCCUUGACAUCAACCAGUUACUAUUUGGGGACCAGAUGUGCAGAGGUAAUGAAUACCAGGGAAUC